Molecule: unclassified non-coding RNA, 232 nt
Filed under: Hevea brasiliensis (rubber tree)
Lineage: Eukaryota; Viridiplantae; Streptophyta; Magnoliopsida; Malpighiales; Euphorbiaceae
Source: RNAcentral
AUGAGACUUUUGUCCUUCUUUAAUAUGCAAUGAGUUAAAAGAUUGAUUCCCAGAUUGCAAAAUAUUUGCAGGACAACUAUAGCUCCGGAUACUCGAGCCCAAGCACCAUCCUCUGCUGCUUUUCAGAUAUGCAGCACUGGAAGUGUGCAGGACAAUGCUGGGAAGCCUUAACUGAGUGGCUACAUCAUCAACGAAAAUCAUGACAUUAUCAUAAACGAUACAAGCAAGCUGA